RNAcentral lists this ribosomal RNA (354 nucleotides) under uncultured microorganism. RNAcentral describes it as "bacterial SSU rRNA". It matches the Rfam family "Bacterial small subunit ribosomal RNA", at positions 346 to 687 of the family's 1533-position model. The record is from RNAcentral.
GUGCAGCAGGCGCGAAUCUUCCACAAUGGGGGAAACCCUGAUGGAGCGACGCCGCGUGCGGGAUGAAGGCCCUAUGGGUUGUAAACCGCUGUUCAGUGGAAAGAACAUCCUCCGGCUGAAUAGGUCGGAGGCCUGACGUUACCACUGGCAGAAAGUCCGGCAACUCCGUGCCAGCAGCCGCGGUAAUACGGGGGGACGAGCGUUGUCCGGAAUCAUUGGGCGUAAAAGGGCGCGUAGGCGGCGAGGAAAGUCGAAUGGUGAAAUCUUGCGGCUCAACUGCAAAACGUGCGUUCGAAACUUCCUACGCUUGAGUAUGAGAGAGGUGUGCGGAAUUCCGUGGUGUAGCGGUGGAAU